UGAGUAACCUGCCCUUAACUCUGGGAUAAGCCUGGGAAACUGGGUCUAAUACCGGAUAUGACUCCUCAUCGCAUGGUGGGGGGUGGAAAGCUUUAUUGUGGUUUUGGAUGGACUCGCGGCCUAUCAGCUUGUUGGUGAGGUAACGGCUCACCAAGGCAACGACGGGUAGCUGGUCUGAGAGGACGAUCAGCCACACUGGAACUGAGACACGGUCCAGACUCCUACGGGAGNAG
This 233-nucleotide ribosomal RNA is filed under the name uncultured bacterium. RNAcentral's name for it is "partial 16S ribosomal RNA". It matches the Rfam family "Bacterial small subunit ribosomal RNA", at positions 118 to 347 of the family's 1533-position model. The record is from RNAcentral.